This 461-nucleotide ribosomal RNA is filed under the name uncultured bacterium. Its description in RNAcentral is "bacterial SSU rRNA". It matches the Rfam family "Bacterial small subunit ribosomal RNA", at positions 329 to 788 of the family's 1533-position model. The record is from RNAcentral.
UGCCAGACUCCUACGGGAGGCAGCAGUGAGGAAUAUUGGUCAAUGGCCGCAGGGCUGAACCAGCCAAGUCGCGUGAGGGAUGACGGUCCUAUGGAUUGUAAACCUCUUUUGUCAGGGAGCAAAGGGCGCCACGUGUGGCGUUUUGCGAGUACCUGAAGAAAAAGCAUCGGCUAACUCCGUGCCAGCAGCCGCGGUAAUACGGAGGAUGCGAGCGUUAUCCGGAUUUAUUGGGUUUAAAGGGUGCGCAGGCGGAAUGUCAAGUCAGCGGUAAAAUUUCGGGGCUCACCCCCGUCGUGCCGUUGAAACUGGCGUUCUUGAGUGAGCGAGAAGUAUGCGGAAUGCGUGGUGUAGCGGUGAAAUGCUUAGAUAUUGCGCAGAACUCCGAUUGCGAAGGCAGCAUACCGGCGGCGAUCUGACGCUGAGGCACGAAAGCGUGGGUAUCGAACAGGAUUAGAUCCCCU